Molecule: ribosomal RNA, 703 nt
Filed under: Clostridioides difficile
Lineage: Bacteria; Bacillati; Bacillota; Clostridia; Peptostreptococcales; Peptostreptococcaceae
Description: partial 23S ribosomal RNA
Rfam family: Bacterial large subunit ribosomal RNA
Source: RNAcentral
UGUUGGUUAUGUGUGCCCAAGCAUUGAGGCAGUCAAAGUAGGCAAAUCCGCUUUGAUAAUGCUGGGAUGUGAUGGGGAGCGAAAUUUAGUAGCGAAGUAGCUGAUUUCACACUGUCAAGAAAAGUCUCUAUCGAGGUUAAAGGUACCCGUACCGCAAACCGACACAGGUGGGUGAGGAGAGUAUCCUAAGGCCAGCGAGAGAACUGUUGUUAAGGAACUCGGCAAAAUGACCCCGUAACUUAGGGAUAAGGGGUGCCACCAUCAGGUGGCCGCAGAGAAUAGGCCCAAGCGACUGUUUACCAAAAACAUAGGUUUCUGCUAAGUCGCAAGACGAUGUAUAGGAGCUGACGCCUGCCCGGUGCUGGAAGGUUAAGGGGAUCUGUUAGAGCAAUCGAAGCAGUGAACUUAAGCCCCAGUAAACGGCGGCCGUAACUAUAACGGUCCUAAGGUAGCGAAAUUCCUUGUCGGGUAAGUUCCGACCCGCACGAAAGGCGUAACGAUUUGGGCACUGUCUCAACAACAGACUCGGUGAAAUUGUAAUUCCGGUGAAGAUGCCGGAUACCUGCGACAGGACGGAAAGACCCCAUGGAGCUUUACUGUAGCUUGACAUUGGGUCUUGGUACUACAUGUACAGGAUAGGUGGGAGGCUUUGAAACCAGGACGCCAGUUUUGGCGGAGCCAUCCUUGGGAUACCACCCUUGUA